This 580-nucleotide ribosomal RNA is filed under the name uncultured bacterium. RNAcentral's name for it is "partial 16S ribosomal RNA". It matches the Rfam family "Bacterial small subunit ribosomal RNA", at positions 355 to 918 of the family's 1533-position model. The record is from RNAcentral.
UGGGGAAUUUUGGACAAUGGGCGAAAGCCUGAUCCAGCAAUGCCGCGUGUGUGAAGAAGGCCUUCGGGUUGUAAAGCACUUUUGUCCGGAAAGAAAUCCUUGGCUCUAAUACAGUCGGGGGAUGACGGUACCGGAAGAAUAAGCACCGGCUAACUACGUGCCAGCAGCCGCGGUAAUACGUAGGGUGCAAGCGUUAAUCGGAAUUACUGGGCGUAAAGCGUGCGCAGGCGGUUUGCUAAGACCGAUGUGAAAUCCCCGGGCUCAACCUGGGAACUGCAUUGGUGACUGGCAGGCUAGAGUAUGGCAGAGGGGGGUAGAAUUCCACGUGUAGCAGUGAAAUGCGUAGAGAUGUGGAGGAAUACCGAUGGCGAAGGCAGCCCCCUGGGCCAAAUACUGACGCUCAUGCACGAAAAGCGUGGGGGAGCAAAACAGGAUUAGAUACCCUGGUAGUCCACGCCCUAAAACGAUGUCAACUAGUUGUUGGGGAUUCAUUUCCUUAGUAACGUAGCUAAACGCGUGAAAGUUGACCGCCUGGGGGAGUAACGGUCGCAAGAUUAAAAACUCAAAUGAAUUGACGGGG